Molecule: long non-coding RNA, 2757 nt
Filed under: Homo sapiens (human)
Lineage: Eukaryota; Metazoa; Chordata; Mammalia; Primates; Hominidae
Description: non-protein coding lnc-LDLRAD4-2:1
Source: RNAcentral
AUACCUCAGAAUUCAGACAAUCCUAUGCAAAGUGGAAUGUGUGAAGUGAAUAACAGAGUAAUAGGAUGCAGACAGCAUUAACCUCCACUUGAGAGGCUGGGGAAAGUGUCAUGUUGGACAAGACAGCUGAGUUUGUCCUUGACCCCUGGGUGGCUGCCUCUUGCAGUUCCUGGCAUAGGUUAGUGGCUAGGAGCCAAACUGUCCAGGCUGAAAUCUUGCCUCUCUCCUCACUGCCUGUGUAACUGUGGGCAAGGCGCUUGACCUCUGAGCCUCCAUUUCUCCUCUGUAAGAACGAAGGAGUAACAGCGCCUAGCUCGUGGAGGGUGGGGAGGGCUGCCCGAAACACACACACAGAGCUCAGAAUGCAUGCGGCCCUGAGGACGUGCGGAUAAAUGGCUACUUUGCUAUCACCCACAGGUAGAAGAUGCUUAAUAUGCAUUCGUUGACUGGGCAUGAAAGUGGAGAACCUGGCUAGCCAUCGGGUGGGAGUGAAUGGAAUAUUUAACUUGGGGUUGAGUUGGGCCUACAGAGAAGAGAGGUUGGGUGCAUCGCGUGGAGCUGGGGAGAAAGGCUGUGGCUGGAGGGUUAUUCUUGAGGACGGGACAGUGUGAACCUCGAGGAUUCAGGUGGCCAAGUCAAGUCAGGUGAGAAGAGGAUGCAAGACGGGGCGACAGUCUCUACUCUUCUGGGAGUUAAGAAGGUCCUGCAAGAGCUGAUACUGCCCAGAGUCUUCAAGGGCAGGGUGUCAGGCAUCCAGGGAAAGAGAAGACACUUCUACCGACUGGCGAGCCCACACUGCCACAGUGGAGAGCCAAGAGGGCCUUCGAGACUCAAACGGAGAGGCAAACGUGGAUCCCUUACCUUCUCACUGGAGAAUCCAAAGGCUUCGCUACAGCAGAGAAGCCCUGUGCGUGGCUGGGCUGAGCUUUGGCGCCACGGUCCCAUGUUGAAGCCUGGAGUGGCCACAGGGCACUUCUGAUCUCCUCAUAGGCCUCAGUUUCCUCAUCAGUGAAACCAGGGUGGAGAAGAAUGGUGUUACCUGCAGAGAUGUUGGGCUCAGAGAUGAGCAAGAUCAUGGAAGCAGAGCAUUAGCCCCUAGGAUGUUUGGUGCGUGUUUGCUGCUGUUACAAUGGCUGCGGGUAGGUGAACCCAUUUGUGUAAAGUUCAGCUGGAAUUGACAAACUCUGUUUUUGUCAUGAUCAGCAAUCCUGCUCCAAAACACAUGGCUCCCACCUGGGUACCUCCCCUCCCUUCCUCUGGCACUGAGGGCUGCCAAGGUCAGGGGUUUCAGAAGGUGGCAGUGAGAAUCAGCAGAGCCUCCACUGCUGUCAGCCAGCACUGCCCUGCAUCCAAACGACACAAGCAGUGGUAAGGCCUCCUGGGUGGGUCAGCUGGCAAGGAGCCCUGCCCUUGCUGUGGGCUCUGGGGGCGGCCACAGCCACUCUACAGCAGCCACAUGCAGGCAUCCUCUGGCUGUGGAGCAGCCGCUGGCCCAUGGCCGAAUGUGCACUCGGCUGUGUCUCAGGGGACAGCCUGGCCAGGCGGAGUCCAGGUCAGUGGAGGAGACAGGCUUCUGUCACCCAGCCCAGGCCCAGGGAGAGUAAGGCAUGGACAGGUGGCUAGCAGCCCCUACAGCAAGCAGCCAGGAUGGUCCCCCUGUGCACAGGAGUAGCCUCUCUGAGGUCAGUUCUAAGCCACACAUUCCCAAAAACAAGGCUGAAGGAGCCCCUCUGGGAGGUGGAGGCUCUCCCCUUAUACCUAGGGGUCCUGGGCCCACCCUAUCCCAUCUGUGCCUGGCAUCUUCCCCUCCUUGGAAGCUGCUAUUCCCUGAUUUGUCUCCCUUUGCCCUGGUGGCUCCUUUAGAGCUGGGUCACCUUUAUUUUUGUAUCCACAAGGCCUGGCACAGGUAGGGGUUAAUAAGUCCACCUGGCUGUCCACCAGUGCCUUGGGCAGUGCUGGCCCAGGAUGAUCGCACCUCGCUGAGACCCUCCCGACAGCUCUGGGGCCCGACAGCUCAGCAAGUGUGCUUCAGGCUCUGCCCAGGGCCACGGUCGGGCUCAGGAUGCAAAGACUCAGGAAGCCUCAGGAAGCCUCAGGAAGCCCCAGACUCGCAGCAAGGUGCGAGGUGAAAACACCUUAGGUUUCCACAGGGCCUUCAUCCCAAAGACUGCCCUCGCAUAAACUCUCCCACAUUCAGCACCCAGGGGAUGCUGCCAGAUCAGUCAUUCUCACCUCCACUGCAGGCCAAGGGCCCAGAGCUGCUGGACCAUGGGUCAGAGGCAAGCAGCACCUGGAAGCCACACCCCUCUCUCCUCCCCAGCACACCCCCAGCUACGACACAGUGCCCCGCAUGCCCCGAAAACCUGAUGGAGCUUUUCAAAUGCCUGAAAGGCUCACCUUGCUCCCAGGGGAAAACUGUGAGCCAGGUACACUCUGGCAGGGAGAAAAUAAAUCCUUCUGAACUUUGGUGCCCUUAUUUGUUGAUCACAACUCUCAUGUAUGCCUGUGGGUUUAAAUGAUGCCACUGUAAAAACCCAUUGCAUAUUUACUGAUUGGCGUGGGAGGCACCGCGCAGGGAGGCCUGGCUCCUGGAGGCUGACUGUGGAAUUACUGUGGAAGGAACUGGAGUUAAUAGUUCUUACCUGUGACUUUUAAACAAAGGCCAUCAGAGAAAGGGGAGAAAGGGAAGAAAGAGAUUUCAUGGAAUAAAGAAGCAAUACUAUUUUCCAAGUCAUGCUGUUAGCUAAGAAAAUUCUG